AAGUGAAUAUGCCCUGCCCCACCUUAACUGAUGACAUUCCACCACAAAAGAAGUGUAAAUGGCCGGUCCUUGCCUUAAGUGAUGACAUUACCUUGUGAAAGUCCUUUUCCUGGCUCAUCCUGGCUCAAAAAGCACCCCCACUGAGCACCUUGUGACCCCCCACUCCUGCCUGCCAGAGAACAAACCCCCUUUGACUGUAAUUUUCCUUUACCUGCCCAAAUCCUAUAAAAUGGCCCCACCCCUAUCUCCCUUUGCUGACUGUCUUUUCCGACUCAGCCUGCCUGCACCCAGGUGAAAUAAACAGCCAUGUUGCUCACACAAAGCCUGUUUGGUGGUCUCUUCACACGGACGCACAUGAAAUUUGGUGCCGUGACUCGGAUCAGGGGACAUCCCUUGGGAGAUCAAUACCCUGUCCUCCUGUUCUUUGCUCCGUGAGAAAGAUCCACCUACGACCUCAGGUCCUCAGACCGACCAGCCCAAGAAACAUCUCACCAAUUUCAAAUCCGGAUACAUAUGCAGGACGUGCAGGUUUGCUAUGCAGGGAAAUGUGUGCCAUGGUGGUUUGCUGCAUCUAUCAACCCAUCACCUAGAAUUAGAAAAACCACUUUAAAAUUCACAUGGAACCCAAAAAGAGCCCAUACAGCCACGACAAUCCUAAGCAAAAAGAACAAAGCUGG
Long non-coding RNA from Pan troglodytes (chimpanzee), 677 nucleotides. RefSeq lists it as uncharacterized. The record is from RefSeq and is a predicted model, not a curated record. The transcript is spliced from 3 exons. Lineage: Eukaryota; Metazoa; Chordata; Mammalia; Primates; Hominidae.